CAGAGAAGUAUAACGGCAAUAACACCACCUAUUUUGUUUUUCUCAAGUCUGCGUCUCUUUGAAUGAAGCUCUCUGCCUUUGGAAGGUCAAGCACUGCCAUCAGAAGAUUCCAGACUUCUCACUGGUGAUUAGGCAAUGAGUACCAUUUUUGCAGAGUCCUCCUACAACAACAGCAGCAACCUGUCUCGCCAGACUUCAUUCACUACACUCAGCUCGGGAGGUGUUGAGAGGACACAGCUGGGUGACGGGGGCCGGAAUUCCUGUGAGACCGUCUGGAUGUGGGUUGCAAUAGUAGCCACACUAAGCAAUCUGGUUGUGGUAGGAAUAGUGUGUGCAUGUACCUUCUGAAGAGACCUCAAGAAUGAGCAGGGUUUUUCCCCCAGGUCAGAGGAGGAUGAGGGAGUACCCACAUGUAGAGAAGAGCAGAGAUAUGCACAUCUCUGAAAGUGACAAGUUGAGAAUGUCUUUAUCUAGCGCAUCAAACUAGAGAGGAAUUUCUGGUUUAAGCUGGUGGGGAAAAACUAUUAAAGUAGAAAAUAUGGACAGACACCAGCAACCUCCCUCCCCAACACUACUGACUUGCUUUAUAUUUUAUUUGCGGUCAUGUUCCUGUAACCUUGCCUAGAAAUGUGUGAAUGUUCCCACUUGCUACCUUUUAAUCCAAAGGAUUUUGGUCUGAAACACUCCUAAAAACACACUGUAAUUGUUUUCCACCUUUUACAUUCCCUGUAUAAGGUUGCACUGGGCCAAAUACCAGGGCAGCUUUGUGUUUAGGCACAUGCCAGGACAGACAGAAAAUAGUUUGGCAUUACCUAGACACCUGCACAGCAGUACAGCUCCCACGCAGUAGGAGGCUAUUAGGGAUUCCUUGUUCACAUGAAUGUACCAAAAAGUUUUGAUUUGCUGUGAAUAUUAAAUUGAUACAAAAAACGUA
This is a long non-coding RNA of Xenopus laevis (African clawed frog), 934 nucleotides long. RefSeq lists it as uncharacterized. The record is from RefSeq and is a predicted model, not a curated record. The transcript has 3 exons. NCBI's taxonomy places the organism in Eukaryota, Metazoa, Chordata, Amphibia, Anura, Pipidae.